Long non-coding RNA from Bombus huntii, 6337 nucleotides. RefSeq lists it as uncharacterized. Lineage: Eukaryota; Metazoa; Arthropoda; Insecta; Hymenoptera; Apidae. The record is from RefSeq and is a predicted model, not a curated record. The transcript has 2 exons.
GAAAUUGUUGUUCAUCUGUUAUCACCUUAUGAAACGAAAGAAACUUUUCGGACGACCUAAUAUUUCCACGCACCUUGAAACAUGAAAGAAACGCUGAAUAGAAUAUUCGAACUAAGUAAAUCGGAAUAAUAGAAAGAUACGAGCGAUCGUAUGAUACGCGAAAUAGGAAAGUAAGGAGUCUCUUACGAACGUUUAACUCAGCGUCGAGCGGGAAAUUAACUGGAAUUUUCGCGCGGUCGCGGUCGAGGAUACUCGCCGGUCGGACGAGCGUUGCAUAGCCGUGAGAAGGCCAACGCGGUCGAAGCAGGCCGCAGACCGCGUCUGCGGUCUUUCCGCCAGUCGCUCCGCCACUUUUUGGACUUUGCUGCUAUGGGCGCGAUUAUCGAUCGCUGCCGCGCCGGUCGCGGCAUCCGGACGCUGAAUUAAGCCCUUGACCGCAAAACCGGCCACCCGAUCGUCUUCCGUUUUAAAAUCGGCGUUCCCCAAUUUUCAGCGCGCCACCUGCUUCACCAAAUCAACUCCGCUACUACGACAAACCUACGGAUAUGUGUAUGGAUGUACCUAUGUACGUAUGUGUGUGUGUGUGUAUUGAGAACUUUUAUGCAGAUUCAUAUUUCUGAGAAUAUAAUUACGUCUUCAUUGCAAGAACAUCGAAGAACGUGUGUUUCUAUUAUCAAUAUUUAUUAAAAACAAUUUUCGUAUCGAGAUCUGAUAAAAAUUGUCGGUCGUGAAAGGAUCAAAGAUAUACUUUAGAUAAAUGUAACCAUAGAAUGAAAAAUAAUUAUCUCCUCGUGGCCUCGAUAGACUCAAACCCUUCAGCGAUCAGCUCGAUGCGCCGCGCCGUAUCGAUUGCUGUUCCUCCACGUAUCGUCAACCUCUGUACGUCGUAUGGACUUCCGUUUCUUCACGUAUCGACGACUUCCAUAUGCCGUACAGAUUGCCAUUUCUUCCUAUCUUCCUCUAAACGCUUUCAAGCUUAUGAUAGGACCGCUUUACGUUUACAAACCGUGUCUAACGUUUAGGUAUCUGACGAUAGAUAAAGUAACGUAUUUCAAGAUUGGCGUUUGAACGAAGACGAAUCGCAUACCAGCGAUUACGAUCGAUUUUUAAUCGUCUUUAAAGCGACCUAUAAUGUCUUUUGAUAUUUCCUUUUAAUGUUUUACGCCAAAAAUAUCAAUAAAGAUUCGAUAAAUAUGUAACUAUCGUCAGUGGAGCGGUGUCAGUGAUAGUCAGUGACACGCACUUGCGUCGCUCGAGACUCAAACAGAAUUCAGCGACACGCCACUUACAAUUAAUCGUCGCAUGAAACAAACUGUCUGUUCCGAUUCUUAUUGUAUAUGAUAAGCAUUGGUUGUUAGACGAAUAUGGUAAAUGAAGGAAGACAGCGAUUCCGCAAAGAAACGUACGCGUUUAAACGGAUUCGGAAGGUUUGUUCGUGGAACGAAUCGAUUAAUGGGCCCGGAAACCGCGGCCGACAUGUUCUUGAAAAGUGUACCGCGGAAGGUUAGCCUGUCAAUGACGGCCAAGUGAAAGUUGGACGUCUAGACGUAUUUAUUUCUAGAGCGACGGACACUGCGAUUUUAUUCCUGUCACAGCGACACCGAAGCCGCCUGAUUGACGUAGGUGUUGCACCGAUUUCGUUUAAAAAUAGGUGUCUGUAUAUGGAACGCUCGUGAAACGUUCAACGCGUGGCAUCGCUCCAUUUACGCUCACGGACCAAUUGGCAGCGACUCGCGAUCGCUACCAAACAGGACGCCAGUACUGUAACAUGCCAAAUAAAAUGGAAAUACGGUAAAACGUCGUGCGUAUGGAGAAAUUUUAAGGAAAAAUGAAGAGCGUUUGGAUAUCGUCAAUACGAGUGAUCCAGAAGCUAUGUGAACUAAAAUUCUAAGCGAAUUCUAUCGUUUACAAAGUAGGUAGAAGAAAUAGCCAUCGUUAAUUUUCGCUCGAGGUAUGCACGAAGCGUCGUCGUACGUCAAAUAUUGACCAACACGUCGAACAUAUCCUCGCAACUCUUCUCAUAGCCACUCUGCUUCGACGAUCCUCUUCACGGGUUAGCCAGCAAAUUAACAAAAACCUGCCUAACCAAUGCAACGCGCUGGAAAAAUCGUCUCGCGUACCGUUUAAAUCGUUCUCCGGAGGAAAACCCUCUGGAAAACCAUUAUCAGCCCUAUGAAUCCUUAGCUAACUAAGGUAGGAUUAUUCGUGAGUCUUACUAGAAUAUUUGACUUUAGAAUCCAGAACAUCUCUAAGAUAUUUUUUAAUCUUCUUCUUACAAAGACUGUUUCAUUCUGAAUUUUUGUUACCAAUACAUGAGAACCCACAGAGAGGAAAAUGAUUUUUACGAAAAUAUUAGAUAUUCUUCGGGAAGACCUGGCCUUGGAUACAUAUAAAUAUACGCUGAGACAGUUGAUUGACAGACACAGUUAAAUAUAUGUAUUUUUGAAUCGUUCAACGAUUAUAAAUGAGUCGACCCGCGCUGGCAGAACACGUCCAACAACGUUUCUUAGUUCCUUUCGUUCUAUUUAGAAAUCUACGUCACAUUUAUCAACUAACCUCCUUCUUGUUUUUCUUUCUUUUUUUUUUUUUUUUUUUUUUUUUUUUUUUUUUUUUUUUUUAGUCACACAAUUAUGAUCUUUCAGAAACAGUUAAUACCUCGUGAAAUUGUACCUGUCUCUAAGAUCGUAUUUCAUCCUGUACGCUUCGCGACGAAUCUUUACUGGAUCGAUUUUAGGAUGAAGCUUCGACAAUUCGAUCGUAAAUCUUGUAAAGCUGCUCGAUCGAACUCGAUGACGUCCUUCGUCCGUUCUACCCGCAAAUGGUAGGUAGCUUAGCGGCAGUCUCGUUACAACAGCGCAGCGGCUCGCGACAGAGGUGAAAGUCAGAUGUCUAGACGUGUUUACUCGCGGCGCAAUCGCGGCUGCAUUGCGACAACCUCGGAUGGACGAGGCGGCGAGUCGGUUUCCUCGUAAGUAACCGGCCACUCGAGCGUGUUUCUGCGGCACACCGGGGACAUUGUGUAGCCACAAAGUACAGAGCCACGUCGUACGUGUUUCGCACGCGUAAAAUGCUCGGCGCGCGCGCUUUCCAAAUUGCACCGCGAUUUCCUGAGAAAUCGAACCGACUUGGACCUGCCAGGCACGUCUCCGGACGUAUAUAUACGAUCCACAAGCCUUCAUCCCGCAUCGUUUCUUUAUUGCUCGCUGUUGCUCACCCUUUGCCGACGAUUUAACACCUUUUCUACUUCUUACGUGCUGUGAUCCUGUUCAUGGAUGGUGGAAUUCACAGGGACAGCGAAGAUCGAUCGAGGAAUUGUCGCGCGAAUGCAAGAUAAAUCCACGGGAAUUUUGACAGAAGUUGACGGCGAAUGGAAUUCUGAUACCCAGGUAGCGAGGAUAGAUGAUGAAAUUGUGAUACGAACGGGCAAUAAAUUGCGAAAUUUUCAUAUGGAGGGGAAAAUCUUGGCAAUUUUCACUUGUACUAACUGUAGACGGCAAAGUUCUGACAGGAUUUGAUGGCGGAUUUGAAAUUCCGAAUGGAGGAUGAAUCUGAGAAUUUAAACACGAGUUGAUGAUGAAUAAUGGAUUUCUGAUAGAAAUCGACGACAUGAUCGCGGAAUUCUAAUACAAAUUGACAAUAGACGAUGAAAUUUUUAAACGAAUGGGCAAUAAAUUGCGCCAGUUUGACAGGAGUCGAUAGAUCACGGAAUUGCAAGAGAAUGUGGAGCUUGAAACGUUUAAGUCUCUUGUUACGUACCAUAGGAUUCGACGAGAAAACACAGCAAACACUUGGAACUGCCAUAAACUAAGCAAGUUGCCGUAACUUCGCGACUGUGACACAGACAAUUGGCAUUCUUUGCAAAGUCAUUGAUAAGCGUUCAAAGAAUGUAUUGUACGUACGUACAGCGUAUCACAGCAUCGAAUAGUAUUUUAUUCUUGAGAAUCUACACUCUUCGUAAGAUUUAUUCUCGCAGGAUUAUGGCAUGAUUUAAUAGUAAAUCUCUCGGAAUUUCGCUAGAUCCUAUAAAAUCCUAUCUUUGUUAUAUUGUACUUCGAUAGCUGAAAGCGUGUCGAUGCAACAGCGAAUAAAUCCAUUGUAAUCGUUAAGAGGCCUGUUAAAAAAAAAGUCGUAAAGAGAAGGAAGUUUGGCAAGAAGUAUUUUUAAUCGUGUUUGGCUUGAGAGUGUCGUAGAUAGAUAGUUGUGUAUGUAAAGUAUACGCUAUACAGAAUGUGAAUUACGCAGCUUUCAAGGAACGAUUAAAUCGGAUUAAAUGCUUGCGAGGCUGAUUCGCGGGAAUUUGUGAUUCAUUUAAGGAUAAAAGAGGCAGUUCCAUUGAAAAUCUUGUUAAAAGACGUCGCGACGAGACGGUUCGAUAUGAUCACGAAGAUACUGUUGCAAAUUCUUUUGAAACAGUAGACGCAUAAGAUGAGGAAAUUUGGUCGUGGUAUAAAUUAAGAAUAAUUCUCAGCAUUGGAUAUUCGAUAUUUUAUCGAAUCACGAGUUACGUACGAACAUCGACAUAUUGUUAGCGAGCCAACUGUACAUUGGCAAAAACACGAGGCACUGUGCUUUUCUCAAACGAAAUCACGUGGUACCCGUGGCGUCGAGCGGGACAACGCAGCGGCGACAGGUCGUCCUACGAGCCUUCAGGCUCGUAUGCAAAUCUCUUGUCUUGUUCGUCUUGUUUGUGGCGUGGACUGGCCGACGUGGUCUCGUCGUCUACUCGAAAAGGCCAUUGUGGGGACACCAACCGCGGAGGAGGUCGAGGUUAAGACCCGGUUACGCGGCGUUGCGGGUCGCGGCCUCGUCAGGGACUGGGUCGAGGUUGCCAGGGUCCCCCUGGGCCCGCAUAAAAAGCACGCGUGUGCAUGCGCGAAAGCUUCGUGAAAAGUGUCGUCGACCAAGUUUUUCGACCGGUUCUCUCGUCUCUCGGGGAGAAAGGCCAGCAGACGACCCUCCAGAGGUCGAACCAGUUCCCCAGACCAUUCGGUCGCCACCAAAACGCGUUUUCUGCCGUCUUACGAUCGCCAAUUUCACGGGCACGGAUGUAUCCUGGUCUUCGAGGUUGUACAAUUGCUUACUGAUUUACAAAAUCUGUGUCUAUAUUUGGUAGGUUGGAUGUUACUGGCUUGAAUUGGUUUAUGGGUGUUGAAGAUGGGGAAUGAGUGAAGGGUUAGAUGGUGAGACUGGUUUUGUAUGACUUAAUAUUCUGUCGAAUUUACGCAGCAUAUUUCGUCGUAGUUUACCUUGUGUUAAGGCCAAUGAAAUCCAAAUUAUCAAUUCCAUUUGUAUAAAAAAUUAUGAAACUCACGUUGCAAUAAUAGUUGAAGGUGCAUAGAUUGGUCUUAAAUGAACUAUCAUAAAUUCGUUAUAAAUCAUUGUUUCACGUAUUAUCUGCAUUCUGCAGCUUCUUCGUAAUCAUCUUACACGAAUCGUGUCUUUACACAGAAAUCGACUACGACUAUGAAGACGAGACAACCUAGCACGACUAUGCAGCCAACCUUCGUACAUCACCUUCGCCAAACUAAAUCCAUUACUCUCCACAAUUUCUCCAUUAUUCUCUCUUCCAAAUUAAUCUCACGUAGCUGGGUAAAAUCCGUCGACAAAAAGGAAAAAAAAAAAGAAGAAGAGAAGAAACUUACGAUCCCACGUGGAAUAAGAAGUCUCGAACAAUCUGCAACCAGCUACACGAGAUUCGCGUAUUUAUAAAAAUCUUAACAUCCAGCAGCAGGCUAGGCAUAAGCCUGAUGCAUUCAUCUGUCGGUACUUUUGGAAGGAAAGAGAGAGAGAGCCUCUCUCUCGUAAAGAUGAAAAAUUCCAUACAUUCGUGAAAAGCUAGCCGUGAUUUCCCUUGUGUUACGCGAUAUCGCUGUUUCCCUUUGAGCCAGGAUAACAAGCGGAUAGCAGCGGAAGCCAGACAGAAAUAUUCCUGGUCCUGUCUAGCGAAACCGAAUCACCUCGAGUGAAAAUAGUACGCGACAAAUAUUCGUUUGGUUAAAAAAUCAAUGGUAAAAGAAAUGAAGGCCACAGGGAAUAUCCAAUGGUACCAUCUUUAACAUUUACUAUAUAUUUAAGAUGGCUAUCUAUGCUGUAUAUUAAUUUUUUACCAAAUGGUAGAUACAUAGUAAUUUAUUAAUUUACUAAUUAAUAUUAUAAUAAAAUAUUUUAUCGAAAUAUCGCUAUUAUCUAUUUUUAAUAAACGUUUUGCUAAAUAUCUACGAUAACAUCUAUAUCAAUUUUCAAAUUGAUGUCAGACACGAACGUACGUAUGUAAUCGAUAAUCGUAGUAGUCGUAUCUCGUUACAGUGCAAAUAAAAUUUAAAAGUGUUUUCCAUUA